GAUGAACGCUGGCGGCGCGCCUAAUACAUGCAAGUCGAGCGAACAGACGAGGAGCUUGCUCCUCUGACGUUAGCGGCGGACGGGUGAGUAACACGUGGAUAACCUACCUAUAAGACUGGGAUAACUUCGGGAAACCGGAGCUAAUACCGGAUAAUAUAUUGAACCGCAUGGUUCAAUAGUGAAAGACGGUUUUGCUGUCACUUAUAGAUGGAUCCGCGCCGCAUUAGCUAGUUGGUAAGGUAACGGCUUACCAAGGCAACGAUGCGUAGCCGACCUGAGAGGGUGAUCGGCUACACUGGAACUGAGACACGGUCCAGACUCCUACGGGAGGCAGCAGUAGGGAAUCUUCCGCAAAGGGCGAAAGCUUGACGGAGCAACGCCGCGUGAGUGAUGAAGGUCUUCGGAUCGUAAAACUCUGUUAUUAGGGAAGAACAAAUGUGUAAGUAACUAUGCACGUCUUGACGGUACCUAAUCAGAAAGCCACGGCUAACUACGUG
RNAcentral lists this ribosomal RNA (497 nucleotides) under uncultured bacterium. RNAcentral's name for it is "partial 16S ribosomal RNA". It matches the Rfam family "Bacterial small subunit ribosomal RNA", at positions 28 to 507 of the family's 1533-position model. The record is from RNAcentral.